This 1292-nucleotide ribosomal RNA is filed under the name metagenome. RNAcentral's name for it is "SSU rRNA". It matches the Rfam family "Eukaryotic small subunit ribosomal RNA", at positions 115 to 1372 of the family's 1831-position model. The record is from RNAcentral.
AUUUAUUUGAUGAAUGUAUGAGAAUACUACUUGGAUAACCGUAGUAAUUCUAGAGCCAAUACAUGCAACGACGCCCGACCGUUUCACUACGGAAGGGCUGUAUUUAUUGGAUACCAAAACCAUCCUUCCCUCGGGAAGUUUUGUUUGAUGAUUCACAAUAACUGAUCGGAUCGCCACUGUGGUGGCGACAGGUCAUUCAACAUUCUGCCCUAUCAGCUUUCGAUGGUUGUGUAGUGGACAACCAUGGCCAUAACGGGUAACGGAGAAUCAGGGUUCGAUUCCGGAGAAGGAGCUUGAGAAUUGGCUACUACAUCUAAGGAAGGCAGCAGGCGCGCAAAUUACCCAAUCCCGAUUCGGGGAGGUAGUGACAAAAAAUAACAAUACCGGGCCUUUUUGGGCUUGGUAAUUGGAAUGAGGGAGAGUUAAACGGACCAUCGAGUAUCCAUUGGAGGGCAAGUCUGGUGCCAGCAGCUGCGGUAAUACCAGCUCCAAUAGCGUAUAUUAAAGUUGUUGCAGUUAAAAAGCUCGUAGUUGGACUUGUGUGCGCUGUCCGCGGGUGGCCUGCGCCCAAAAGGGCGUUUCGGUUCGGCCCCGGUGGCGCCUUGAAAUCUGCAGCUGGGGGGACGUUGGCCUUAACUGGUCGGCGACCGCACGCCGGCUGCUCGGUUACUGUGAGAAAAUUAGAGUGUUCAAGGCAGGCAUUGGGUGCAAUUGAAUACAUUAGCAUGGAAUAAUAAAAUAUGGCUCCUGCCGUAUUUUGUUGGUUUUGACUGGUGGGAGUAAUGAUUGAUAGGGACGGUUGGGGGUGCUAGUAUUGAGCGGCCAGAGGUGAAAUUCAUGGAUUCGCUCAAGACUAACUUAUGCGAAAGCAUUCACCAAGGACGUCCUCUUUAAUCAAGAACGAAAGUUGGGGGAUCGAAGACGAUCAGAUACCGUCGUAGUCUCAACCAUAAACUAUGUCGACUUGGGAUCGGCGGUAGUUUUUUCAUUAAGACACUGUCGGGACCACGGGAGAAAUCAAAGUGUCUGGACUCUGGGGGAAGUAUGGUCGCAAGGCUGAAACUUGAAGGAAUUGACGGAAGGGCACCACCAGGAGUGGAGCCUGCGGCUUAAUUUGACCCAACACGGGGAAACUUACCAGGUCCAGAGAUGUAGAGGAUUGACAGAUUGAAGCUCUUUCUUGAUCACUUCGGUGGUGGUGCAUGGCCGUUCUUAGUUGGUGGAGUGAUUUGUCUGGUUAAUUCCGUUAACGAACGAGACCUCAGCCUGCUAGUGUAGUCGGCUGGAUUGCC